CGCCCCGCCCCCUGCCCCCGGCCGCGAGAGCGCCGUUCGUGUGGCCGCUUCCCUUCCCCCACCAAGGACCUCCCCAGAGGUGCCAGGUAGCGGAGCCCGCCGCUCUGGGCAGCCGAGCCCCGCGUCCCACACGAAGUACUGGAGCCUAGCAAACUCCGCUCGUGUGUCUUCGGUGGAGCCUAGCAAACUCCACUUGUGCUUGUCUGUAACUGCAACUCAAGCAAGUUUUCCUGCCUGCAUUGCGACCAUCUACGGUGGCUCCAUAUCCGUUCUCCAGGCAAACUGCUGCAGGUGGGGAUGAAGACUUCUGCUUGCUACCAGAGGUCACAAGCUUUCAACCUCCACCUUCCUAGAAGUCCAUUUCCUCCUACUUCUCUAGGCACUCCCCCACCCGGCUUUCACUAGAAGCCAUAGUCCCCACAAUGCCGAACCAGGACCUCAGUGCAAGCCUUGAAAAUGAGUGGUCCUGCCUGGACAGAUACCUCACAGGUACAAGUACAGGAAAAGCUGACAGUGGCAGUGGCAUUGCAAUGUCCUCCAACCACCUCUCUGGAUCUCUUAAAUCUUCCGCUUACCUCUUCCCGCCUCUCUCUAAGCAGACCUUCCUUAGCAAACUCCCCUGUAAGCUGGCCUAUUCAUUGCUCCUUGGUCUUGAAAGGUUCCCUUUUUCCUGCUAACCUGCUUCCUCUUACUAAGCUUACAGUGAAGAAAGGUGAGAGAGAGUUUUCAGGCGAACUCCCUACUUGCUUUGGUUUCUAGUUAAACAAGGGACUUAUAUUGAUCUAACUGCUAAGUUUUACCUACUUAACACUAACUAUCUAGGUCAUUUACUCUUAAUUAAGAAAAAGUUUACCUUAAAGGCUCCACUUGAAAGAGAGGGGUAGCAAACUGACUUGUAAACUGCCCUGUUUGUUGGCCCUGGUUGCUUGGGGACUCUUCUUUUAUACCAGGGGUGGAUAAUUAUAUUGGGCGGAGGGCCACUUACUGAGUUUUGGCAAGCCAUCGAGGGCUGCAUGACAGGCAGCCAGGUGCAGAUAUAUAUUAAUUUUCUACAUUUUUUUAGGGGCCCUGUGGGCCAGAUAGAAUGGCCUGGCAGGCUGCAUCAGGCCCGCAGGCCACAUUUUACCCACCCCUGUUUUAUACCCUCCUGGGCCAGGACUGACUCUGCCCCCUUGUUAGGGCUUUUGUAAGACACUUGCAGCAAUCACUCUGCAGUUACUCAACUGGCAGCUCUCCUAGUAGCUCAAAGCACAUACCCAAACAUACAGCCAACCAAACACUCAACAAGCCAAACCCACAGGCAGUCCUGGCUCACAUACCUUCCAGAAGCAGAAUCUAGUCAGUGCCUGGUUCCUCUUCCCCUUCAUCUUCCUCCUUUGGCUCCCAGUGAACUGCUUGCAAACUCUCCUGUUUGCUGUCCCUGUUCAUUCAAUCCCUGAUUGCUCAGGUAGUCUCCUUUUAUACCUUUUAAGCUACGUAUUCCAAUUCUGCAUUGCUAAUUUUUUGGAGAAAGGUGUCUGUGGUAUGCAAAUAAAUACAGUAUC
This is a long non-coding RNA of Alligator mississippiensis (American alligator), 1544 nucleotides long. RefSeq lists it as uncharacterized. The transcript is spliced from 3 exons. Lineage: Eukaryota; Metazoa; Chordata; Crocodylia; Alligatoridae. The record is from RefSeq and is a predicted model, not a curated record.